This 497-nucleotide ribosomal RNA is filed under the name uncultured bacterium. RNAcentral's name for it is "partial 16S ribosomal RNA". It matches the Rfam family "Bacterial small subunit ribosomal RNA", at positions 28 to 507 of the family's 1533-position model. The record is from RNAcentral.
GAUGAACGCUGGCGGCGUGCCUAAUACAUGCAAGUCGAGCGAACGGACGAGAAGCUUGCUUCUCUGAUGUUAGCGGCGGACGGGUGAGUAACACGUGGAUAACCUACCUAUAAGACUGGGAUAACUUCGGGAAACCGGAGCUAAUACCGGAUGAUAUUUUGAACCGCAUGGUUCCAAAGUGAAAGACGGUCUUGCUGUCACUUAUAGAUGGAUCCGCGCUGCAUUAGCUAGUUGGUAAGGUAACGGCUUACCAAGGCAACGAUGCAUAGCCGACCUGAGAGGGUGAUCGGCCACACGGGAACUGAGACACGGCCCAGACUCCUACGGGAGGCAGCAGUAGGGAAUCUUCCGCAAUGGGCGAAAGCCUGACGGAGCAACGCCGGGGGAGUGAUGAAGGUCUUCGGAUCGUAAAACUCUGUUAUUAGGGAAGAACAUAUGUGUAAGUAACUGUGCACAUCUUGACGGUACCUAAUCAGAAAGCCACGGCUAACUACGUG